ACGAACGCUGGCGGCGUGCUUAACACAUGCAAGUCGAGCGGAAAGGCCCCUUUGGGGGUACUCGAGCGGCGAACGGGUGAGUAUCACGUGAGUAAUCUGCCCUUCACUUCGGGAUAGCUUCGGGAAACCGAAAUUAAUACCGGAUAUGACGCGUCUGGGCAUCCAGUGCGCGUGGAAAGAUUUUUUGGUGGGGGAUGUGCUCGCGGCCUAUCAGCUUGUUGGUGGGGUAAUGGCCUACCAAGGCUUCGACGGGUAGCCGGCCUGAGAGGGUGACCGGCCACACUGGGACUGAGACACGGCCCAGACUCCUACGGGAGGCAGCAGUGGGGAAUAUUGGACAAUGGGCGGAAGCCUGAUCCAGCAACGCCGCGUGAGGGAUGACGGCCUUCGGGUUGUAAACCUCUUUCACCUCGGACGAAGCGCAAGUGACGGUACGAGGGGAAGAAGCACCGGCCAACUACGU
RNAcentral lists this ribosomal RNA (463 nucleotides) under uncultured bacterium. RNAcentral describes it as "bacterial SSU rRNA". It matches the Rfam family "Bacterial small subunit ribosomal RNA", at positions 29 to 506 of the family's 1533-position model. The record is from RNAcentral.